CCCUUAGAUGAUUUGGGCUGCACGCGCGCUACACUGACCCUAUCAAUGAGCAACUGUCUGGCCUGAGAUGGCUGGGUAGCCUUUUCAACCCAUGUCAUGAUUGGGCUAGAUUUUUGUAAGUCUUGAUCUCUAACGAGGAAUCCCUAGUAUGCGUGAAUCAUCAAUCCAUGCAGAUUAUGUCCCUGCCCUUUGUACACACCGCCCGUCGCUCCUACUGAUUGGGUGAUCCGGUGAGCUGUUCGGCCAUAGCAAUGUUUCUUGAGCAGGGCAAUGAAUGUUUCGCAAACCUUGCCACUUAGAGGAAGGAGAAGUCGUAACA
Molecule: ribosomal RNA, 319 nt
Filed under: uncultured eukaryote
Lineage: Eukaryota
Description: partial 18S ribosomal RNA
Rfam family: Eukaryotic small subunit ribosomal RNA
Source: RNAcentral